Molecule: non-coding RNA, 47 nt
Organism: Anopheles maculatus
Lineage: Eukaryota; Metazoa; Arthropoda; Insecta; Diptera; Culicidae
Source: Rfam
AAAUCGGUCCUUUUCAGGACCACCAAAUGGUUUUCAAAAGAAUGUGU